UACGGAAGGGGCAAGCGUUGUUCGGAAUCAUUGGGCGUAAAGGGCGCGUAGGUGGUUCUGUAUGUCUACCGUGAAAGCGUACGGCUCAACCGUAUUUUGUCGGUGGAAACCGUUUGGCUAGAGUCCGGAAGAGGAGAGUGGAAUUCCCGGUGUAGCGGUGAAAUGCGCAGAUAUCGGGAAGAACACCCGUGGCGAAGGCGGCUCUCUGGGACGGUACUGACGCUGAGACGCGAAAGCGUGGGGAGCGAACAGG
Molecule: ribosomal RNA, 253 nt
Filed under: uncultured bacterium
Lineage: Bacteria
Description: partial 16S ribosomal RNA
Rfam family: Bacterial small subunit ribosomal RNA
Source: RNAcentral